CGUGUAGGCGGUUGGUCCAGUCGGAUGUGAAAGCCUGGGGCUCAGCCCCAGAAGUGCAUCCGAAACUAGCCAGCUAGAGCGCGAUAGAGGAGGGUGGAAUUCCUGGUGUAGCGGUGAAAUGCGUAGAUAUCAGGAGGAACACCGGCGGCGAAGGCGGCCCUCUGGAUCGUUGCUGACGCUGAGACGCGAAAGCGUGGGGAGCAAACAGGAUUAGAUACCCUGGUAGUCCACGCCUUAAACGAUGGGUACUAGGUGUUCGGGGUGUUGACCCCCUGAGUGCCGCAGUUAACGCAUUGAGUACCCCGCCUGGGGACUACGGCCGCAAGGUUAAA
This 332-nucleotide ribosomal RNA is filed under the name uncultured bacterium. RNAcentral describes it as "bacterial SSU rRNA". It matches the Rfam family "Bacterial small subunit ribosomal RNA", at positions 568 to 898 of the family's 1533-position model. The record is from RNAcentral.